GACGAACGCUGGCGGCGUGCUUAACACAUGCAAGUCGAACGGAAAGGCCCUGCUUUUGUGGGGUGCUCGAGUGGCGAACGGGUGAGUAACACGUGAGUAACCUGCCCUUGACUUUGGGAUAACUUCAGGAAACUGGGGCUAAUACCGGAUAGGAGCUCCUGCUGCAUGGUGGGGGUUGGAAAGUUUCGGCGGUUGGGGAUGGACUCGCGGCUCAUCAGCUUGUUGGUGGGGUAGUGGCUUACCAAGGCUUUGACGGGUAGCCGGCCUGAGAGGGUGACCGGCCACAUUGGGACUGAGAUACGGACCAGACUCCUACGGGAGGCAGCAGUGGGGAAUAUUGCACAAUGGGCGGAAGCCUGAUGCAGCAACGCCGCGUGCGGGAUGACGGCCUUCGGGUUGUAAACCGCUUUCGCCUGUGACGAAGCGUGAGUGACGGUAAUGGGUAAAAAAGCACCGGCUAACUACGUG
This 468-nucleotide ribosomal RNA is filed under the name uncultured bacterium. RNAcentral describes it as "partial 16S ribosomal RNA". It matches the Rfam family "Bacterial small subunit ribosomal RNA", at positions 28 to 507 of the family's 1533-position model. The record is from RNAcentral.